GGAAGGAUCAUUAUCGAAUUGUCAAACACGGGUUGUUGCUGGCCCCCAAACGGGGCAUGUGCACGCUCUGUUUACACAUCCACUCACACCUGUGCACCCUCUGUAGUUCUGUGGACCGGGAGACGUUGUCUUCCUUCCGUAGCUCUACGUCUUUACACACACACCGUAGCGAUGUCUCAUGGAAUGUUUUUUCGCGUUUAACGCAAUACAAUACAACUUUCAGCAACGGAUCUCUUGGCUCUCGCAUCGAUGAAGAACGCAGCGAAAUGCGAUAAGUAAUGUGAAUUGCAGAAUUCAGUGAAUCAUCGAAUCUUUGAACGCACCUUGCGCCCCUUGGUUAUUCCUCGGAGCAUGCCUGUUUGAGUAUCAUGAACACCUCAACUCUCAUGGUCUUCCAUGAUGAGCUUGGACUUUGGGGGUUUGCUGGCCUUGUGGCCGGCUCCUCUCAAAUGAAUCAGCUUGCCAGUGUUUGGCGGCGUCACGGGUGUGAUAACUAUCUACGCUCGCGGUUGUCCGUCAGGUAACCCUCAGCGAUGAAGGUUCAUUGGGGCUCAUAAACGUCUCUCCCCAGCGAGGACAACUUUUGAACGUUCGAUCUCAAAUCAGGUAGGACUACCCGCUGAACUUAAGCAUAUCAAUAA
Molecule: small RNA, 641 nt
Filed under: uncultured fungus
Lineage: Eukaryota; Fungi
Description: eukaryotic LSU rRNA
Rfam family: 5.8S ribosomal RNA (bases 215-369)
Source: RNAcentral